CCCAUAAAAACUUGGUAAAUAAUCAGGCCAGUCCAAAACAAGCAAACUUGGUCAACAUAUACAGGGUCUUAAUGACUGAAAGCAUUUCAUAGACAUAUCAAGACUAAAUCAAAGCAAAAGCAAAAACUGCAGAGGGAACAAGAAAAGUUAUUAGAGAGCUAUACCAAAGCUGUAGCCCUAUGGUUUAGCUGUGAUAACUGGAGGUCCAACACUUCUAAAAGACUCCAUAUAAUUGUCGGUAACAACUGUCAGCCUCCACCCUGGAGUCACGCUUCCACUCUUGGUUUGCCAAUGCGCGAGAAAAAUGGAACAUAGGGAAGAUAUGGAGGAAAUGUGUCAUACAAGUGAUAUUUUAGACUGCAGAUAACACAAACUUUACCACGGUCCAUGUCAUAUGACAGUAGCACAUCCUUGCACCUCCAAACAAAGAAUAUCAAAUUGCAUUCAGGAUGGAUUGCGAUCAAAGCAUAGUCCCUCUGGAACAAGAGAUCAGCAUAGUCCCGUUGUAACAUGUGAUUUUUCUCCCCAAAAAGCUCCCCAAAAAGUUGUGAAGUGCUGAUGUUGUACUUAAAGAUCCAUUCAUUACCAUUAUAGUCCUCAAGAAUCCAGACUGAUAAUUUGGAGCUAUCGUUGUCUCUCAUAUUUAUAAAAUACAAUCGCCCUUGAGAUUGACCAAUAAAAGCCAGAGGACCUAAACAAAUGUUUCCAACACACAUGGUUUCAAGCAAAGAAAUGGUCCUCCAUGUCUUGCCUUCCGUGUCAACUGCUAGUAUCUUAAACUCACAUGUGAGCAAGUGCAUCAUUCCAUUGAAAAAGACACCUCUCAUGUCAACUAUCUGAAUCUCAUUGUCGCCCCAACCAUUUUCCUUGUAACUCCAGGCUCCUGUCUCUGAUGAGUAGAUAUUAACACCUGAGAUAUAUCCAUAGUCCUCAUCACCCUCUAGGAUCUGGAACACAUGGAAGUGGGGUGACAUGGCUCCAUCGAAACCCAAACGGUACGCCAAUGCAUCGCUUUUAUGGCCAGCAUCAGGCAGGAUUACCCAUUCCUCAGUGGCAGGAUUACAUACCACAUAAUCAGCUUCGUCUAUUGGGGAGUCCUUCCAGCAGAGGCAGAAAAUAAGGCCAUUGCAGCAGUCCUUUGGCAAAAUCUGCCUGUAUCCCGUCAAGAAGGACAACGAGGAAUCAGGGAAUAGCUGCUCUUGGUCCCUUGAUAUACCAUCAAAAGUGGGAAAUGCUAUCAAACCAUCCUCAUAGUUGAGUCUGUGCUUGGGGUAGAAGAAGCCGGAGAUGGUCUGGGGCAGCUUUUUGCGGUGUUGGGAGAUGAGGAGGUACCAGAGCCGGGAGACACACUUGAAUCGGCACACUGACUUGACGGGCAGCAGGGACAGAAUCUCGAUGAUAAGGUCAUCUGUCAGGUCAGCAGCGGAGGUUGUCCCGUUCUUGGAGCAGUUCAUCUGUGUGCAAGCCAUUCUGACAAGUAGAGACGGAACACUAAAAUAGUCAUAUCAAAUAUCAGUGCAUGACAGAAUGAAAGGAAGAGCACGGAGGAAGAACAGGCAUACCAGUCUACUGAAGCAGGGAGCGGCAACGAUGGAAGUGGCUAUCAAUGGCGGUUCUGCGGCUGACGGCUGGGAACAAUAGUUACAGUGGCUCAGAUAGUUGAAUAAAAUGCCAAACAACAAAGAAUAAAUCAAAAUAGUACAAGCUAUUGACAGCGACGUGUAACAAGUUGUACUAUUUGAAACUUACUGGUUAGAAACAAUGCCUGGGAACAAAACAUCAAGACUUAAAUACACUUUGUGAAAGUAAAAUGUAAAGGCAGUCUUUCGUUUUCACCGGUUCCUUUGUUCUCACCAACGGUCGCCUGGAGGAUGGAGCGCCAGGCACGGUGGCUGCAAGUCGGACGCGUGAGCCUGACGGACGUGCCUGAGUGAGGUGCAACCAAACACGGAUAGUUGAGGCUCAAGCAAAUCGCUCCAGCACAGCAACCAAACUAGCCCAACAUGCAUUAACAUUGUGACAUCUUUGUUCUACAACUGCUCCAUUAAGUACAAGUUCAAAAACGAAGUCCAGCCAACUACUAUAACUAUUAAUAUGGAUCGGAGGGAGUACUGAAAUUUCUUUCGGAUAGGUGUAUAUGGUGUUAGAAUUUUACAGGCUCCUUUUACACCUUAUUAUGUUUUGGUUUUUGACGAGAAUCCUUUCAGAAUUUUUAUUGAGUCACUUGACUUGCAUUUCUGUGACUGUGAGUAUACAUCUGUAACUUCCACACAGAACCUAAGGCUGGAGGAGUAUGAGCUACGAAGAAAUGAGACCACCCAUAGCAUAGCAGUUAACCUAAAUAGGUUUGAUGUCGUACCUAGUAAGUCAGACGCCGCUGCUCUUUUCCUGUCCUGCCGGCGAGCUUCCAGACCGCCGCCGCUUCGUCCCGGUUCGUCGCCGCUGCCCGCCACAUUCGGGAUCGACUACAGGAUCUCAAGCCAUGCUUCCGCAUAGUCGAUCCAUGGUCCGAUUUAGGGAUCAGGUCCCAAGAUCUGAGAGUUGGCUGGAGGAUUUGGGGAUUAGGGUUCUUGUUCGGCCUGUGUGAAGCGGAGAAGGCCGUUUGUGCGGAGAAGAGAGAAGACGCUCUACGGGCUGCCGAAAUUAGACCAGCCCACAUAAAACUCCGACUGGACCUGCCAUUCCACUCUAGCCACUGUAGAGACCCGGACCGAUUUUCCAAGCAUUUUUUAUUCGGUUUUGAACAAAGCACAAAACAAUGUAUGUUCCAAAUGGGAAAAUUUGAAAUCAUGAAAUUUAAUUAAAUAAUGGAAAUAUUAUAAAAAACAAACAUUAAAAAAACAAAAUUUGAGGACAUGACAUUUUUUGUUGAAAAUUUCAAAAACGCGGACAAUUUUUAGGCAUAGUUGUGAAGCACAUAUGCACUUUUCACAUGGUGUGCUUGACGCGAGGGGAAAUACAGAACACAAAAAGAUGGAUCUUUUUUGUCAAGAAAACCUAUGAAAUAACAAACAAAAUCCGAAAAACCAAAAAAAUGCAUGGAGACAAAAAAAAAUUGUGCUCCCAUGAAUGCGCCCAAAGCGCGACACGUGGCGGCGGUUGGUCGCACCACAUGGUUCGCCCAUGUGCGCUCGUUGUGAGCUCCUCCCGGGGGUACCGCUGGUUAGUUGACCCCAUUCUUAGGAGUUCUUAUUAACCAUCCGCAAGCUUGGCUAAGAGCAAGAGUAGGUCGGCGGCACAGUUUGCCCGUGAGCGAUUUUUUAAAAAUUAUCUUCAGUCUUUUAGGUUGUCGGUUUGCCCGUGAGCGAUUUAAAAAAAAUUAUCUUCAGUCUUUUAGGUUGUUUCUCAACCCCCCAAAAAAUGGCUGUUGUUUUUUAGGAGCUACAUAUUUGAAAACCUAUUUAUUUUAAUAAUAUUCUUUACAAAGUUGUUCAGUAUGUUUUUUAUAGAAAAGAUUGUUCUAUAUUAAAAGAAGUUCAUCGUAUACUAAAAAAAAUCAGUAGGAAGAAAUGAAUAUGACAUGUAGGCCCACAUAGUAAGUGAGAGAAGUGAGUAAUCCCGGUUUAAUUUCGACCACACAUACAAUUUUUUUUAGGGGUAAACCAUACAUACAACUUCAAGCUUUAAAAUAGACUUUACUCAACCCACUUCAUUUCAUGUGACCUUUAAAAACGGAGGCAUACACGCUCCUGGCCUUACAAAGACACCAUUAAGGUCAGGCAAAAACUCGCAGGUAACACACCUUCAAGUUGUCCCUACCAAGAUCGGUAUAAGUAGCGGUCAAUGUAUAUGGAAAAUAUGGACAUGGCAAUUGCGUCCAGGAUUCACGUAUAAGAAGCACAUUUCAUAAAGGCAUCAAACUGUCUCCCACUCUUCCAUAAGCCACGAGUCGCAUUGUGGCCUCCAGGGGUUGCGGAUAAAUUGUAGAGAGAUCUAUUAAUGCAUAUACUUUAACUCCGCCUAUGUUGUCUCAACAUAGCCGGUCCCAAGCCCGGGUAAAGGAGGAGGGUUGUGAUAGGCUUGGCGAGCCAACGUAAAAACUCAGCCACUCUUAUGGAGAUGAAACCCAAAAGAUUUUCGUUGGGGCGUAACCCUCUCAGCGACGCGCCACAUCGGAACCCGGGUGUGGUGAAAAAUGGGCAAGGGCCGGGCCGUCACCCCCCAAGUGGCGCCCCGUAUCUUGAUCCGGAUACGGUGGCAAGUGAGCGAGGAUCGGGUCGUCGCAUCCUUAGUGGCGCGCUACAUCGGCGCCCGGAUGUAGUGGAAAAUAAGCAAGGGUCUUCGCAUUUGACUCGACGAGUGCGAAGGGUAAGGAAGCUAGCCGAGCCUAGGAGGAUUCGCUUAGGUAGCUGGAACGUAGGGUCUCUGACAGGGAAGCUUCGGGAGCUAGUUGAUGCAGCAGUGAGGAGAGGUGUUGAUAUCCUUUGCGUCCAAGAAAUCAAAUGGAGAGGACAGAAGGCGAAGGAGGUGGAGGAUACCGGCUUCAAGCUGUGGUACACGGGGACGGCUGCAAACAGAAAUGGCGUAGACAUCUUGAUCAACAAGAGCCUCAAGUAUGGAGUGGUAGACGUCAGGAGACGUGGGGACCGGAUUAUCCUGGUCAAGCUGGUAGCUGAGGACUUGGUUCUCAAUGUUAUCAGCGCAUAUGCCCCGCAAGUAGGCCACAAUGAGAACACCAAGAGGGAGUUCUGGGAAGGCUUGGAAGACAUGGUUAGGAGUGUACCGAUUGGUGAGAAGCUCUUCAUAGGAGGAGACCUCAAUGGCCACGUGGGUACAUCUAACACAGGUUUUGAAGGGGCGCAUGGGGGCUUUGGCUAUGGCAUCAGGAAUCAAGAAGGAGAAGAUGUCUUAAGCUUUGCUCUAGCCUACAACAUGAUUGUAGCUAACACCCUCUUUAGAAAGAGAGAAUCACAUCUGGUGACUUUUAGUAGUGGCCAACACUCUAGCCAAAUUGAUUUCAUCCUCUCGAGAAGAGAAGAUAGGCGUGCGUGCCUAGACUGUAAGGUGAUACCUGGGGAGAGUGUUGUACCCCAGCAUAAGCUGGUGGUUGCUGACUUCCGCUUUCGGAUUCGUGUCCAGCGGGAUAAGCGUGCCAAGGUCGCUAGAACGAAGUGGUGGAAGCUCAAGGGGGAGGUAGCUCAGGUGUUCAAGGAGAGGGUAUUUAAGGAGGGCCCUUGGGAGGAAGGAGGGGAUGCGGACAAUGUGUGGAUGAAGAUGGCGACUUGCAUUCGUAAGGUGGCCUCGGAGGAGUUUGGAGUGUCCAGGGGAAGGAGAAGCGAAGAUAAGGAUACCUGGUGGUGGAAUGAUGAUGUCCAGAAGGCGCUUAAAGAGAAGAAAGAUUGCUUCAGACGCCUAUACCUGGAUAGGAGUGCAGACAACAUAGAGAAGUACAAGAUGGCGAAGAAGGCCGCAAAGCGAGCUGUUGGUGAAGUAAGGGGUCGGGCAUAUGAGGACCUCUACCAACGGUUAGGCACGAAGGAAGGUGAAAGGGACAUCUAUAAGAUGGCUAAGAUCCGGGAGAGGAAGACGAGGGAUAUUGGCCAAGUCAAAUGCAUCAAGGACGGAGCAGGCCAACUCUUGGUGAAGGACGAAGAGAUUAAGCAUAGAUGGCGGGAGUACUUCGACAAGCUGUUCAAUGGGGAGAAUGAGAGUUCUACCAUUGAACUGAAUGACUCCUUUGAUGAGACCAGCAUGCGUUUUGUGCGGCGCAUCCAGGAGUCUGAGGUGAAGGAGGCUUUAAAAAGGAUGAAAGAAGGCAAGGCGAUGGGCCCUGAUUGUAUCCCCAUUGAGGUGUGGAAAGGUCUCGGGGACAUAGCGAUAGUAUGGCUAACCAAGCUUUUCAACCUCAUUUUUCGGGCAAACAAGAUGCCAGAAGAAUGGAGACGGAGUAUAUUAGUACCAAUCUUCAAGAACAAGGGGGAUGUUCAGAGUUGUACUAAUUACCGUGGAAUUAAGCUGAUGAGCCAUACAAUGAAGCUAUGGGAGAGAGUCAUUGAGCACCGCUUAAGAAGAAUGACAAGCGUGACCAAAAAUCAGUUUGGUUUCAUGCCUGGGAGGUCGACCAUGGAAGCCAUUUUCUUGGUACCACAACUUAUGGAGAGAUAUAGGGAGCAUAAGAAGGACUUGCAUAUGGUGUUCAUUGACUUGGAGAAGGCCUAUGAUAAGAUACCGCGGAAUGUCAUGUGGUGGGCCUUGGAGAAACACAAAGUCCCAGCAAAGUACAUUACCCUCAUCAAGGACAUGUACAAUGAUGUUGUGGCAAGUGUUCGAACAAGUGAUGUCGACACCGAUGACUUCCCGAUUAAGAUAGGACUGCAUCAGGGGUCAGCUUUGAGCCCUUAUCUUUUUGCAUUGGUGAUGGAUAAGGUCACAAGGGGUAUACAAGGAGAUAUCCCAUGGUGUAUGCUCUUUGCGGAUGAUGUGGUGCUAGUUGACGAUAGUCGGACGGGGGUAAAUAGGAAGUUAGAGUUAUGGAGACAAACCUUGGAAUCGAAAGGGUUUAGGCUUAGUAGAACUAAAACCGAGUACAUGAUGUGCGGUUUCAGUACUACUAGCUGUGAGGAGGAGGAGGUUAGCCUUGAUGGCCAGGUGGUACCUCGGAAGGACACCUUUCGGUAUUUGGGGUCAAUGUUGCAGGAGGAUGGGGGUAUUGAGGAAGAUGUGAACCAUCGAAUCAAAGCCGGAUGGAUGAAGUGGCGCCAAGCUUCUGGCAUUCUCUGUGACAAGAGAGUGCCACAAAAACUAGAAGGCAAGUUCUACAGGACGGCGGUUCGACCCGCAAUGUUGUAUGGCGCGGAGUGUUGGCCGACUAAAAGGCGACAUGUUCAACAGUUAGGUGUGGCGGAGAUGCGUAUGUUGAGAUGGAUGUGUGGCCACACGAGGAAGGAUCGAGUCCGGAAUGAUGAUAUACGAGAUAGAGUUGGGGUAGCACCAAUUGAGGAGAAGCUUGUCCAACAUCGUUUGAGAUGGUUUGGGCAUAUUCAGCGCAGGCCUCUAGAAGCUCCAGUACAUAGCGGACGGCUAAAGCGUGCGGAGAAUGUCAAGAGAGGGUGGGGUCGACCGAUUUUGACAUGGGAGGAGUCCGUUAAGAGAGACCUGAAGGAUUGGAGUAUCGACAAAGAGCUAGCUAUGGACAGGGGUGCGUGGAAGCUUGCUAUCCAUGUGCCAGAGCCAUGAGUUGGUUGCGAGAUCUUAUGGGUUUCACCUCUAGCCUACCCCAACUUGUUUGGGACUAAAGGCUUUGUUGUUGUUGUUGUAUCUAUUAAUGCAUAUACUUUAACUCAACGCAUACUGUGCUUGAGCGUUCAUUUUUUCCAUUGUAAGUUGCCUUAUCUUUAUUAGCAUGAGAAAGCAAUGAUUCAUUCUUUCCAUUAUUCCUUAAGUAUACAAUUAACUCAAGGUUUUUCAAUGGAUAUGAUAAGCUGGAGAAGAAGAAAUGAGCAGGCAAGAAGCCAAUGACUACCACAUAUAAUCAGGUCAGUACAAAACAAGCAGACUUGGUAAAUAAUCAAAGCAAAAGCAGACUUGGUAAAUAAUCUCAGUCAAGUCAAAUUACAGGGUCUUAACGGCUGAAAUCAUUUCAUAGAUACAUCAGGACUAAAUCAAAGCAAAAGCAAAAACUGCAGAGGGAAAAAAAGAGGAGUCAUUGGAGAGCUAUACCAAAGCUGUAGCCCCAUGGUUUAGUUGUGAUAACUGAAGGUCCAACACUUGUAAAAGAUUCCAUAUAAUUGUCGGUAACAACUGUCAGCCUCUACCCUGGGGUCAGGCUUCCACUCUUGGUCUGCCAAUGCGUGAGAAAGAUGGAACAUAGGGAAGAUAUGGAGGAAAUGUAUGAUACGAGUGCUCUUUUAGACUGCAGAUAACACGAGCUUUACCACGGUCCAUGUCAUAUGACAGUAACACAUCCUCGCACCUCCAAACAAAGAAUAUCAAAUUGCAUUCAGGAUGGAUUGCGAUGAAAGCAUAGUCCCUUUGCAACAAGAGAUCAGCAUAGUCCCGUUGUAACGUGACAUCCUUCUCCCCAAAAGCUCCCCGAAAAGUUGUGAAGUGCUGAUGUUGUACUUAAAGAUCCAUUCAUUACCAUUAUAGUCCUCAAGAAUCCAGACUGAUAAUUUGGAGCUAUCAUUGUCUCUCAUAUUUAUAUAAUACAGUCGCCCUUGAGAUUGACCAAUAAAAGCAAGGUCACCUAAAUAAAUGUUUUCAUCACACAUAGUUUCCAGCAAAGAAAUGGUCCUCCAUGUCUUACCCUCAGUGUCAACUGCUAGUAUCUUAAACUCACGUGUGAGCAAGUGCAUCAUUCCAUUGAAAAAGACCUCUCAUCUCAACUAUCUGAAUCUCAUUGUCGCCCCAACCAUUUUCCUUGUAACUCCAGGCUCCUGUCUCUGAUGAGUAGAUAUUAACACCUGAGAUAUAUCCAUAGUCCUCAUCAUCCUCUAGGAUCUGGAACACAUGGAAGUGGAGUGACAUGGCUCCAUCGAAACCCAAACGGUAGGCUAUUGCAUCACUUUUAUGGCCAGCAUCAGGCAGGACUACCCAUUCCUCAGUGGCAGGAUUGCAUACCACAUAAUCGGCUUCGUCUAUUGGGGAGUCCUUCCAGCAGAGGCAGAAAAUAAGGCCAUUGCAGCAGUCCUUUGGGAAAAUCUGCCUGUAUGCGGUCAAGAAGGGCAACGAGGAAUCAGGGAAUAGCUGCUCUUGAUCCCUUGAAAUACCAUCAAAAGUGGGAAAUGUUAUCACAUCAUACUCAUCAUUGAGUCUGUGCUUGGGGUAGAAGAAGCCGGAGAUGGUCUGGGGAAGCCUUUUGCGGUGUUCAGGGUGGGAGAUGAGGCUGUACCAGAGCCGGGAGACACACUUGAAUCGGCACACUGACUUGACUGGCAGCAGGGACAGAAUCUCGAUGAUAAGGUCAUCUGUAAGGUCAGCAACAGAGGUUGCCCCGUUCUUGGAGCGGUUCAUCUGUGUGCAAGCCAAUCUGACAAGUUGAGAAGGAAAACGAAAAUAACCAGAUCAAACAUCAGUGCAGGACAGAAUGAAAGGAUGGAAGAAAGAGCACGGAGGCAGAACAGGCAUACCAGUCUACUGAAGCACGGAGCGGCAACAAUGGAAGUGGCUAUCAACGGCGGUUCUGCGGCUGACGGCUGGGAACAAAAGUUACAGUGGCUCAGAUAGUUGAAUUAAUUGCCAAACAACAAAGAAUAAAUCAAAAUAGUACAAGCUAUUGAUAGCGGCGUGUAACAAGUUUGCUAAUACUAUUUGAAACUUACUGGUUGCAAACAACGCCUGAGGACAAAACGUCAAGACUUAAAUACACUUUGUGAAAGCUAAAUGUAAAGGUAGUCUUUUGUUUUCAUCGGUUCCUUCAUUCUCACCAACGACCGCCUCGAGGAUGGAGUGCCAGGCACGGUGGGCUGCAAGUCGGACGCCUGAGUCUGACGGACGUGCCUGAGUGAAGCUACGUCUCUUUGAUCAGUUAUCUUUCCAGAAUAAAUACUAGCUAGGGUUUUCAAUUUUGCUCCCAGUGUAUCCAUAAAUGAGACAUUUGUUCAAGGAGGAACCCUUCCGGGAAUGUAAUUACGAAUAAAUGGUUUAUUUCCAAAUUAGCGCCAUCUCAGUGUGGCAACCAAACACGAAACGUAGAGUCUCAAGCAAAUCGCUCCAGUGCAGCAACCAAGCUAGCCCAACAUGGUUAACAAUGUGACAUCUUUGUUCUACAACCACUCCAUUAAGUACAAGUUCAAAAACGUAGUCUAGCCGACUAACUAUUAACAUGGAUACACGGUGUUAGAAUUUUACAGGCUCCUUUUACAACUUUUUUGUUUUUGUUUUUGAGAAUCCUUUCAGAAUUUUUAUUGAGGCACUUGACUUGCAUUUCUGUGACUGUGACUAUACAUCUGUUACUUCGACGCAGAACCUAACGCUGGAGGAGUAUUAGCUGCAAAGAAAUGAGACCGCCCAUAGCAGUUAACCUAAAUAGUACUUCCUCCAUUCCUAAAUAUAAAGUCUUCUAGAGUUUUUAAUAUGGACCACAUAAGGAUGUAUAUAGACAUAGUUUAGAGGGUAGAUUCACUCAUUUUGCUCCGUAUGUAGUCUAUAUUGAAAUCUGUAGAAACACUUGUAUUUAGGAACGGAGGGAGUAGUUUUGAUGUCGUACCUAUUAAGUCAGACGCCGCUGCUCAACCUCCGCUUGUCCUGUCCUGCCGGCGAGCUUCCAGACCGCCGCCGCUGCCCGCCACAUCCGGGAUCGGCAGGAGCUCAAUCCAUGCUGCCGCAUAGUCAAUCCAUGGUCCGAUUUAGGGAUCGGGUCUCAAGAUUUGAGAGAGGGCUGGAGGAUUUGGGGAUUAGGGUUCUUGUUCGUCCUGUCUCCUGUGUGUAUGAGGCCGUUUGUGAUUUUGUGGGGAGUGCGUCACGCAAGGAGAAGACGCUCUACGGGCUUCGGCCCAAAUUAGACCGGCCCGCAGAAAACUCGGCCCUAAAAUCUUGUGACUGACAUAAUAAAGCUUUAGCGGUUUCUCAAAAAAAAAAAAGCUUUAGCGAGAUUGUCAAAAAGAAACUGUAGUAAUUGUUGUGAAAUCAUUGGUCAAGGAUACUCUUUGCAAAUGUCAUCCUCACAUCUUUUUGUGAUGACAAAUGGUGUACUGUAUGUACGACACUUGUCACAGCCUAGGUUUUUUUUUGUAUAUUCAUUCUUCCUAAACUUUUUAUCUAUUAAAUCUUGCGCCCAAACCAUGAACCAUUAUUAUCCUUGCGUUUCUUGCGUUGACAUCUUCAAAAUUAGAUCUCAUGUUAAUAGAUUCGGACAAACCUUUUUCUGAAAAAAGCAGAAAACAAAAAAAUCAGAAACUAAUUCUUUUGGAAAAAUGGAAAUAAAAAUAAAAAUCAGAAAAAACACAUAGUGUGCUUCACGCGAGGAAAACACACAAAAAAAGUAUGGAUCUUUUUUGUCGAGAAAAUUUAUGAAAUAACAAACAAAAUCUUAAAAAAACGCAUGGAGACAAAAAAUUGUGCUCCCACAGAUGUGCCCAAAGCAUGACAUGUGACGGCGGUUGGCCAUAUCACGCGGUUCACCCAUGCGUACCCGCUGUGAACUCCUCCCGGGGAUACCGUUGGUUAGUUGACCCCAUUCUUAAGAGCUCUUAUUUACCACCCGCAAGCUUGGCUGAUAGCAAGAGCAGGUUGGUGGCACAAUUUGCCCGUGAGCGAUAUAAAAAAAAUCUUCAGUCUUUUAGGUUGUUUCUCACCCCCCCCCCUCCCAAAUAGUUGUUAUUUUUUAAAAUUAAAAUGGUUGUUAUUUCUUAGGAGCUACAUAUUUGAAAACCUAUUAAUUUUAAUAAUAUUCUUUAGAAAAUUGUUCAGUAUGUUUUUUAUAAAAAAUUUGUAUAUUAAAAAAAGUUCAUCAUAUAUUUAAAAAGUUCAGUAGGAAGAAAUGAAUAUGACAUGUAGGCCCACAUAGUAAGUGAGAGAAGUGAGUGAUCCCAGUUUAAUUUCGACCACACAUACAAUACAACUUCAAGGUUUAAAAUAGACUUUACUCAACCCACUCCAUUUCCUGUGAUCUUUAAAAACGGAGGCAUACACGCUCCUGGCCUUGCAAGGACACCAUUAAGGUCAGGCAAAAACUCCCAAAGGUAACACAACUUCAAGUUGUUCCUUCCAAGAUUGAUAUAAGUAGCGGUCAACAUAUAUGGGAAAUACGGACCUGGCAAUUGCGUCCAGGAUUCAGGAUUCACGUACAAGAAGCACAUUUCAUAAAGGCAUCACACUGUCUCCCAUAAACCACAAAUCACAUUGCGGCCUUGAUGGGUUGUGGAUAAACUGUAGAGAGAUCCAUUAAUGCAUAUACUUUAACUCGACGCAUACGUGCUACAACCAGGCCCGUCGAGGAGGGUGUGCAAGCGGUGCAAUCGCACAGGGCCCCGCAAAUCGUAGGGGCCCCGAUCAGAGAAAAAAACCAUGAUAUGAUCCGGUUCAUGCGCUGCAUGUUUGACUUUUUUAACUGGCUCGCCUGAUCCUACCGCAAGAAAACUGCAGCCGAAUGCAGCAACUCGCAGUCUCAUCGUUACGGGUGAGGCCCAUAGUCUUUUUUUACGAGUGAGGCCCAUAGUCAAUAUCGUCGUUCUCCACUAGUCGCAGCAAACAGGCCCCCAGCCGGAUGCACGAGAUCAAAUAGAUAGUUUUGUCUCUCCGAAAAAAAAAAACAACUUCACCAAAGAGAAAUAGGGAGGCGCCGUCUACCUGCUUCUACGAAGGGACGAGCUGCCGAUAGAUGGCGGACGGCCACCGCGCGUCCGCUGUACGGCCGAACGUGGGCACCUAUUUCCCUGCUGCAGCAGUCUCAUCUGAUCAUCCCAGAAUAUAUUCCGAGGUACUCCCUCCGUUCCGAAUUACUUGUCACAGGUAUGGAUGUAUCUAGAUGUAUUUUAGUUCUAGAUACAUCUAUUUCUGCGACGAGUAAUUUAGAAUGGAGGGAGUAAGUCGUAAUCCAUAAGCCCGGAUUCAAAAUAUGCGGACGAGAAACUAGUUAGGGUUAUAUAUUUUUUGAUACAAUUCUGGUUUUUUUGAUGUUUUCAUAUCGUACCGAAUGCAAUCCCUACAAAUAGAGCAGUGCUACUCCACUAGGCCUGUACUUCAUUUUAAUCAAAAUUAAUAGGCUUGAGACAUUACCCGCAAUCUAAUUUUUAAUUCUAGUACCAUUCUUUGGUGUGUGCUUUUCUACUAUACUACUAGCAUAUUUCAUUGCAAAAAAGACUCAAUCGAUUUUUUCUUUUAUGAGAAUAGACUCGACAGAUUUAAAGAUUUUGUUUAAGAAAUACUAGACAGAUGAUGCUUUUCGGUAGAAUAUACGUUUACUCUUUCGCAUUACUAUGUGAUAAAUAUUAUACGAAAUAACACAUAUUCAAAACUAUAUUAUUAAGUGAAAAUAUGUCUAGUUAUAUUAGUUAUACAAUUUUCUGCAAACCUUUGGGCCCCGUGUCACAUUUUGCACUGGGGCCCCAAAUUCCUGGAGACGGCCCUGGCUACAACGUCCAUAUGUUCCAUUGUAAGUUGCCUUAUUUCUAUUAGCAUGAGAAAGCAACAAUUCAUUCUUACAUACGUUUAGAUUUUUUCAUUAUUCCCUGAGGAUACAUCGAACUCAAGGUUUUUCAAUGGAUAAGAUAUACUGGAAGAGAAAUGAGCAGGCAAGAAACCAAUGAGUAGCACAUAUAAUCAGGUCACUCAAAAACAAGCAGACUUGGUAAAUAAUUUCAGUCAAGUCAAACUAGAGGGUCUUAAUGACUGAAACUAUUUCAUAGAUAUAUCAGGACUAAACCAAAGCAAAAGCAAAAACCACAGAGAGAAAAAAGAAAAGCAUUAAGAGCUAUACCAAGCUGUAGCCCUAUGGUUUAGUUGUGAUAAACUGAAGGCCCAACACUUGUAAAAGACUCCAUAUCAUUGUCGGUAACAACUGUCAGCCCCCACCCUGGAGUCAUGCUUCCACCCUUGGUCUGCCAAUGUGCGAGUAAAGUGGAACAUAGGGAAGAUAUGGAGGAAAUGUGUCGGAGAAGUGGCUUUUCAGACUGCAGAUAACACAAACUUCACCACUGUCCAUGUCAUGACACUAGCACAUCCUUGCUCCUCCAAACAAAGAAUAUCAAAUUGCAUUCAGGAUGGAUUGCGAUCAAAGCAUAGUCCCUUUGCAACAUGAGAUCAGCAUAGUCCUGUUGUAAGUUGAGAUCCUUCUCCCCAAAAAGCUCCAAAAUAAGUUGUGCAAUGCUGAUGCUGUACUUAAAGGUCCAUUCAUUACCAUUAUAGUCCUCAAGAGUCCAGACAGAUAAUUUGGAGCUAUCGUUGUCUGUCGUAUUUAUAACAUACAAUCGCCCUUGGGAUUGACCGAUAAAAGCAAGAGGACCUAC
This 13886-nucleotide long non-coding RNA is filed under the name Triticum aestivum (bread wheat). Lineage: Eukaryota; Viridiplantae; Streptophyta; Magnoliopsida; Poales; Poaceae. The record is from RNAcentral.